AAGUAAACUGUACGAUAGCAACUGAAUUGUUUACAUGAAAUGGUGGAAGAUUUAAAUUUGACUUUAAAAUAUCAUGUCUCAAUUUAUUAACACCAACACUAUUCCAUGUGAAAUUUCACAAGACCAGGACACUUCGUUUUUAAAUUUAAAUGAUUUAUCGAAUGUUGGGAAGUUACGGUCUUGGCGAACAGCAUUCUCACUUUCAGUGUGACAACUGUUGCGGCCAAAAUAAAAACAACAUAGUCAUCUGGUACCUUCUGUGGAGAGUUCUUGUAGGUUUACACAGAAUCAUCACACGAAGCUUUAUGUUGAUAAGACAUACAAAGUUUACACCAGAUUGGCACUUUGGCAUCUGGAAAUCAAAGUGGAGAAACUUCAAUGCAGAAAUGUUGUCUGAUGUCGCUGCGUUUGUGGGGUUAUCGUCAAGGUCGGGCCACAACAUCCCCCAGCUUGUGGGGGACUCUUCCAAUCCUGUUGUUAUCUAAGACAGGAAGGAUUGCCUUACGACAUUGUUUCACCACAUAAAGAAUGUCACCAAAUUUCAUCAAUUUCCAUGUGUCAGCGGAGCAUCCGGUGUUGUGGAAUGCAGGGAAUUUAGUGAAUCACCAGUAGUCAGAAUCACUCUCAGGAAGGUCUCGAAAGUGAAUGUUAAUGUGAGCUGUGACAACCUGCCAUAAGAAAUGUUUGCGAAAGGGCUUGAUCUGGACCAUCAGUGGUAUUUAUUUGAAAACAUUCGUGAAUUCUGUCGCAUAGAUGAACCAAAAACUUGACAUGUCCGAAACGCGCUACUGGUGAGCAACAAAAAACAGACAGUGCCCCCCAAAAAAGAAGAUGCAUUAAGAUGCGCAUCUGAUCUUCUCUGAUGGUGCCACAACAAUUACAUACAUCAUGUAUCAGUGUUUAUUUUGGCCAAGGUAUUGGGUGAUAUAUUUUCCCACAAACAAUGCAAAAAAUCCUCUAUUCCUAGGAAAGCUAAAACAUGUAUACAAUUGCUAAAUGUGUCAGUUGAUACAGGUUUUGAGAUGUUCAAUGCAAACUUUUGUUGUUUUAAUUGCACAAGCUUGUUUUCAAGUUUUUUAUAUCUCAUAUUUAAAAAACAAAAAUCAUUUGUUCCAUGUAGAUCUAACCAUGCAAUUGUUUUCACCUUAUGGACACAGACUGCCUAUCAGAAUAACUGGAAAAAAAUCAGUGUGAAUAUUGUAUUUAUUUAUGUUUUACAAUGAAAAUCCUAUAUUUUUGUUUGUUUGCUACAUUGUUUCCAUAGUAACAAAAACAAACAAUUUUUAUGUUUAAGUUAUUGUUUAUUUUUUCUAUUUUUCUCUAUCAGAAAUAAUGAUAAUAAUGAUUAUUUCAUUUACUGAAACAUUUAGUAUCCAAGUGUACUUUCAACCAACACUUUUCAAUGCUGUGUUUUUCCAUUCUGUUGUGUUUGAGGUUACAUUAUACUUAAAUACACAUGUAACUGAAUAAAAAAAGGAAAUUGUUCAUGGAACACACACAUUAUUGAUUGUUAUCGUUUAACUAGUUACAAAACAGUGAAAUUAAUGUUGUGUUUGCCUUUAAACAAACACUUGAUUGAAAAUACAAUUCAUACAUUUAUAAAAGGCGUGAUUGUGUGCUCUGGUGAUUAUUUACAUGUAGAUUGGUUACCAUAGCAACACAAAUGGUACAUUUUAAAUGUCCAUAAUGCUGUUGUCAGUUUAUUGCACUAUAAAUAUGUAUUUGACUAAAGGAAAGAUUAUUGUUUUAAUAAAACAAUGUGCUUGUUGUUUGAAAAUUUUCGUUGUUUUUUUUGUAAUAAAUGAUAACUUUUAGUGACGGUAAAAUGUAGGGUUGGUCACUUUGGAAGGUCAUAAAAUUAGUUUUGAAUGUGAUAAAUAAAAAAUCUAUAUCAUUUUUGUGAACUACAAUGUUCAGAAAAUCCAAAAUUGCCAAAAAGUCAAAAUGUGAUUUUUUGAACACAAGACUGAUUUUCCCAGCUUUGGUCACAUAUAUUAUUUCUAUGUAAUAUUUCUUCAGUUCUGUAUUGAAGACUUGAUCUUUCUUGUGAGUAUUUUGAACAGUCAAAUUUGAAGUAUUUUUAUAGUUUCUGGUGUUCUACAUGCUUCACACUCCACAUCUUCGCUGUUUGUAAUCUUGGACCAGUGAGCCUCUAGGCGAGUAUGUCCACUAAGUAAUUGGUUCACUACAUUGAAUAUUUUUCUCUUUUUUUUUCUCCAACGCAAGCUCUGGAUCCCGGCUUUGGGAUGCACUCUUGGAUUUUUGUUGUUUUUUCUGAAUGCAGAUAUUGAACUUCCCAUUUUUGUAUUGAUUUUAU
Dreissena polymorpha is the source of this 2317-nucleotide long non-coding RNA. RefSeq lists it as uncharacterized. Lineage: Eukaryota; Metazoa; Mollusca; Bivalvia; Myida; Dreissenidae. The transcript has 4 exons. The record is from RefSeq and is a predicted model, not a curated record.